GCCGGUUCAUCCCUUAAAUAAAAACAGACCACGAUCAAGCAGCUGAGUUGAACAUCCUGGAAAGGGAGGAGGGGAUGCUCAGUAAAAGGGGAAGUGGGUGAGACCUCACGGCCACCGACCCCGGCGCUGCCUGAGGGUCAGAGGAGGGGAGGAGGGCCGGCAGCCGGGGGGGGUCCGGGGGUGGAGGCGAUGGCCCCCAGCAAAGCGCUGUGGCUGAUGGUGUCCCACUGCCCGCCCCACGCGGGGCCUCCUGGUGCACAACUGCCGGGUCCGGCGCUGGGGUUCCACGGCCGCAUCCCUACGUGCCGCUCCUCUCCUUCACCUUCUCAGCUUUGCUGUCCUCGGGAGGCGGCGGUUUGAUGGUGACGGGCUGGGAUGUCCUCCGCGGAGGGGAGGGCUUGGGCUGCACUUGCUGCUGGACUGUGUUGUAGUACGUGACCCCGCCGUACACCUGGGACUGCGCCUGCGUGUUGGAAUAGAGGUGUGGAGGGGGCGGUGGGGGCAGCGCUCCCGGGGGGUACGGGUAGCCCGGAUUCCCAAAAUUCAUGACUCCAGGGGGGGAGAAGUAGGUCGGUGCGAGCAGCUGCUGUGGCGGGGGCUGCCCUGGGGGCAUGGAGACCGGCGG
Molecule: long non-coding RNA, 625 nt
Filed under: Gallus gallus (chicken)
Lineage: Eukaryota; Metazoa; Chordata; Aves; Galliformes; Phasianidae
Source: RNAcentral